This 434-nucleotide ribosomal RNA is filed under the name uncultured bacterium. Its description in RNAcentral is "bacterial SSU rRNA". It matches the Rfam family "Bacterial small subunit ribosomal RNA", at positions 28 to 507 of the family's 1533-position model. The record is from RNAcentral.
GACGAACGCUGACGGCGUGCCUAACACAUGCAAGUCGAAGAUAGCAAUAUCUUGGCGCACGGGUGAGUAACGCGUAGACAAUCUGCCCCCCAUCUCUGACAUAACACUUGGAAACGGGUGAUAAUAUCAGAUGAGGUGGAAACAUCAAAGCUCCGGCGGUCAAGGAUGGGCAUGCGGUUGAUUAGCUAGUUGGUGAGGUAACGGCUCACCAAGGCGACGAUCAAUAGGGGGUCUGAGAGGAUGUCCCCCCACACUGGUACUGAGACACGGACCAGACUCCUACGGGAGGCAGCAGUGGGGAAUUUUCCGCAAUGGGCGAAAGCCUGACGGAGCAAUACCGCGUGAGGGAAGAAUGCCUAUGGGUUGUAAACCUCUUUUUUCAGGGAGGAAUAAAAUGACGUGUACCUGAAGAAUAAGCAUCGGCUAACUCCGUG